GGGGCGCUGGACGCAGACCACGUUAGAACCUCGGCUCCAGGAGUAGCAGAACCUCGGCUUCAAUGGGACCCUCAUUUCAUAAAUGAAGAAACUGAGAUUCAAAGAGGGGAACUACCGAAGGUCACAGAGCGAGUUCGUGGGUAAACAUGAUGGGGAAACUGAGCCUCACAUGUAUGAAUUCCAGCAUAUAAGCAACAGACUCCGGAUUUGGACAUGUAUAUCUUGUUCCAGACUUCCCAGAUGACCACCAAGGUGGAAGGGAUGAUGAUGUCCAGGCAGAAGGGAGCUAGGCCGGCCCAAGCUUUUCCUCUAGGCACAGCGGACUCCAGGUUCAGCCUUCCCGGAUGAUAGUGUUGCAUUCUGAAGAGCUACUUUCCCGCCAACUCAUCUCUGGACUUCUCUGGGGCCCAACUCUGGUUUCCUGCCUGCAGGAGGUCCCCUCUGACUUCCGACAGUAGAUGACCCUUCUGACUCACAGUUCUACUGCUGGGAAAUGCCUCCAGAGCUGCUGCCCACCCCCUCUGCAUCCCUCCAGGUCACUGGGUGUCGAGUCAGGGGAAGCAGGGAUGCACAUGGGCGGGAAACUCAGGCCUCCUAAAUGUCAGAGCCUCAGGACUUCGGCUACUCAGAAGUAGCUCCCUCCUGGGCCACCAGGGAGCAGCAGGGCAGCCAGCAUCCAGACAUCCCCCCUGGGCUCUGCUGCUCAGAGGCUAGAUGGAGAACCAAGAGGUGCAGAGUGGUUGGUGACUUCUCCUGGGCCAUGAGGACAGUCAGUUAAAGUCCUGGCUACCUCUCCCUGAGCCCACAUAUCCUAUGGCUUCACGGAAGGUCCCACCUCCCAAGAAGGGGCUAGUGGCAGGGAAGUUGAGAAACAGAGAGACGGAAAGGUGGCAUAAAACCAAAGAGGGGGACACUGGAGAGGAGCCGGCAAGAGGCCAGGCUGGGGACGUCAGAGAAGAGGAAAACAGAGAUGAAGCCACAGGCCUGGGGACAAGGGAAGAUGAGAGACAGGAGAUGGAACCCCUUCCCAGACCUGGUGAUGAGGAGGAGGCUCUGAGCAGUCCUAGCCAGGCCCCAGAGAAGCCAUUCCCUUCCUUUGACAGAUGCCACCUGUGUACGCCCCUGCCCGCAAUGAAGUUAACAAAUCACCACCACCACCCUGCCCUGGCCUGGUUGCUGUUGACAUUCAGUCUCCAGGAUGCAUCAUUUUCUUGGAUUUUAAUAGACAAUUGCCUCAGCCAGACCCUGCAGAGCAAAUUGCCAGCAAAUGUUCAUUGAACACUUUAAAAAUCGAGGGGAAGAAGAGAGGGCUUGGAGGCAGCAUGUGGGGAGAGGUCAACCUCUAAAGUGCCAGCUCUCCAGAAAUGCAGCCGGACUGAAGGUUUGAAGGGAUGGUAGUGAAUGGAGCACUCCAGGCAGUGUGUGUGCUGAAUCUCAGGGCGGUUUUAGCACUUCAGAGGCCUUUUUGACCAAGAUAUUCACGUUGGCCUGAGGUGAAACAACUCUUAAAAAGCUUUAUUUGAGGAGCCUGGCAGUCCUAUAAGGGGAAACCCACCUAUUACUUCAAGCGAAGCUGACGCAGAGAGAUGAGCCAAUUGAGCAGGAGACAAUGUAAGCAGCUGUGGGGGUGUGGAGUACUCCCUCCUGCCUGUGGGAGCUGCACCGUGGAGUCUAGCUUGUCACCCUCCGGAGGCAGAGCCCCUCCUCCCUGCCUCCUCUUGGUCUAGAUGGACAGCCAUGGCAGCGGAGGCUGCAGAGCUGAGCAGGUGAUACUGGGCAGCGACCCUGCUGCGGGGAGGGUCCACACCCCACAGCUCUUUACUGCAUUUAUUUAACAAGCGACAUUGAGCCAGCAAUCUCUGCUGAAAAGUGCUCAGCCCUGGAGAGAGAACUGUGAACAACGUGGACACAGCUCCUGCUUUGUGGAGCUUGGUGUCUG
This is a long non-coding RNA of Gorilla gorilla gorilla (western lowland gorilla), 1939 nucleotides long. RefSeq lists it as uncharacterized. The transcript is spliced from 5 exons. NCBI's taxonomy places the organism in Eukaryota, Metazoa, Chordata, Mammalia, Primates, Hominidae. The record is from RefSeq and is a predicted model, not a curated record.